UUCCGCCAGAAAAUUACGAGCGAAAGCCUAAAACUCAAAAGACUUGACGGUGUCCCAACCUUCCUAGAGGAGCCUGUUCCAUAAUCGACAACCCACGAUACACCUAACCACCUUUAGAACAUUAUUCAGCCUAUAUACCGCCGUCGCGCAGCCUACCUUUUAAAAGAAUAUAAGCAAGCGAAAUAGUAAAAUACUAAUAAGUCAGGUCAAGGUGUAGCUUAUAUGGUGGAGGAAAUGGGCUACAUUGUUUAUACUAAACCACACGAACUUACUAACCCCACUGAAAAAGAAAAUGAAGGCGGAUUUAGCAGUAAUUUAAACAAGAAUAUUUAAAUUAA
This 338-nucleotide ribosomal RNA is filed under the name Proctoporus laudahnae. RNAcentral's name for it is "partial 12S ribosomal RNA". It matches the Rfam family "Bacterial small subunit ribosomal RNA", at positions 867 to 1366 of the family's 1533-position model. Lineage: Eukaryota; Metazoa; Chordata; Lepidosauria; Squamata; Gymnophthalmidae. The record is from RNAcentral.